RNAcentral lists this transfer RNA (67 nucleotides) under human gut metagenome. It matches the Rfam family "tRNA". From Rfam's summary of the family: Transfer RNA (tRNA) molecules are approximately 80 nucleotides in length. RNAcentral also lists the same sequence under 2 other names. The record is from RNAcentral.
AGUGUGGCUCAGUUUGGUAGAGCGCUGCGUUCGGGACGCAGAGGUCGCAGGUUCAAAUCCUGUCACU